GGAAAAUUUUUCAUCGGCAAGAUAAGUUAUUUACUAAAUAAUAGGAAACCAUCCUGGAGAGUUCGAAUCUCUCAUUUUCCG
RNAcentral lists this transfer RNA (81 nucleotides) under Waltiozyma pijperi. RNAcentral's name for it is "Wickerhamomyces pijperi tRNA-Ser". Lineage: Eukaryota; Fungi; Ascomycota; Saccharomycetes; Phaffomycetales; Wickerhamomycetaceae. The record is from RNAcentral.